This 789-nucleotide long non-coding RNA is filed under the name Homo sapiens (human). Its description in RNAcentral is "HSALNT0225033". Lineage: Eukaryota; Metazoa; Chordata; Mammalia; Primates; Hominidae. The record is from RNAcentral.
GUCGCCGCCUGGGGGUGGGCGUCUUCUCUCAACCGAAGCUGGGAGUUGGGGAGCUGGAGGGUCCAGGAUGAGAAUUCAGUGGCGCUACUACCCCGGAGCUGCUUGUGGUUCAGAGAUCAGAAAGGUGUCCUGAGGACUGGAGGCAGAAAUCCAGGCGUGGCGUACUGGAAGGCGCACUAGGGGAGGGCAGCCUGGCCCAGAAUUUCUUUGCAUUUUAAAGGCCACACAUUCAGUCUCCCCGGGGCGCUACGGAGGUAGUCACCGCCACAUCCAGGACUCCUUCCACAGAGGCCCUCCCUAUCCUGAAGAGAUUAAGAGUCUAGCACCUUUUAAGGUCUGAAUAGGAAACAUUUGUCAUCUGUCAUCUCUAAGGGCAGCCACUGUAAGACUUCAGAGAACCUUGCUCUCCACAAUUUUUUAUCUUAACCUGAACAUUUCCUUUCUAUUGAUCCCAGGUCUUUAGACAAACUCAACCAAUUGUCAAUCAGAAAAUGUUUACAUUUAUCUAUAGCCUGGAAGCCACCCCCCGCCCCGCGCACUUUGAGUUGUCACGCCUUUUUGAACCAAACCAAUGUAUUUCUUGAACGUAUUUCAUUGAUGUGUCAUGCCUCUCUAAAAUGUAUAAAAUCAAGCUGCACCCUGACCACCUUGGGCACAUGUUCUCAGGACCUCCUGAGGGCUGAGUCACGGGCCAUGGUCACUCAUAUUUGGCUCGGAAUAAAUCUCUUAAAAUAUUUUACAGAGUUUGACUCUUUUUUGUUGACAUAGUAGAGUGAGGAGUGAACAAGG